AUAAGGGCGCACGGUGGAUGCCUUGGCACUAGGAGCCGAUGAAGGACGGGACUAACACCGAUAUGCUUUGGGGAGCUGUACGUAAGCUAUGAUCCAGAGAUUUCCGAAUGGGGGAACCCAGCAUCUUUAAUAGGAUGUUACGAUUGUGUGAAUACAUAGCACAUUCGAGGUAGACGCAGAGAACUGAAACAUCUAAGUACCUGCAGGAAGAGAAAGAAAAUUCGAUUCCCUGAGUAGCGGCGAGCGAAACGGGAAAAGCCCAAACCAACAAGCUUGCUUGUUGGGGUUGUAGGACUCCAAUAUGGUCGUUCUUUCAGAUAGUCGAAUGACUUGGAAAAGUCAGUCAAAGAGGGUAAAAACCCCGUAGACGAAAUGUGGAAGACACCUAGGAGGAUCCUGAGUACGGCGGAACACGAGAAAUUCCGUCGGAAUCCGGGAGGACCAUCUCCCAAGGCUAAAUACUCCCUAGUGACCGAUAGUGAACCAGUACCGUGAGGGAAAGGUGAAAAGCACCCCGGAAGGGGAGUGAAAUAGAACCUGAAACCGUGUGCCUACAACAAGUCAAAGCCCGUUAAUGGGUGAUGGCGUGCCUUUUGUAGAAUGAACCGGCGAGUUACGAUUGCAUGCGAGGUUAAGUUGAAGAGACGGAGCCGCAGCGAAAGCGAGUCUGAAUAGGGCGUUUGAGUAUGUAGUCGUAGACCCGAAACCAUGUGAUCUACCCAUGUCCAGGUUGAAGGUGCGGUAAAACGCACUGGAGGACCGAACCCACGUACGUUGAAAAGUGCGGGGAUGAGGUGUGGGUAGCGGAGAAAUUCCAAACGAACUUGGAGAUAGCUGGUUCUCUCCGAAAUAGCUUUAGGGCUAGCCUCGGAAUUGAGAAUGAUGGAGGUAGAGCACUGUUUGGACUAGGGGCCCAUCUCGGGUUACCGAAUUCAGAUAAACUCCGAAUGCCAUUCAUUCAUAUCCGGGAGUCAGACUGUGAGUGAUAAGAUCCAUAGUCGAAAGGGAAACAGCCCAGACCACCAGCUAAGGUCCCAAAAUAUAUGUUAAGU
RNAcentral lists this ribosomal RNA (1052 nucleotides) under Enterococcus faecium. RNAcentral describes it as "partial 23S ribosomal RNA". It matches the Rfam family "Bacterial large subunit ribosomal RNA", at positions 12 to 1064 of the family's 2925-position model. Lineage: Bacteria; Bacillati; Bacillota; Bacilli; Lactobacillales; Enterococcaceae. The record is from RNAcentral.